AGUGCAACACAACACAAUACAACACAGUUUCAACACCAUCAACAAAGAUGUGUUUGACCAACACCUGGUCUGAUCACAGAGCCUGGAAACUGGUGCAAUGAAAGAGCACAGUCAGAUUGGAAAGGGUUGGCAUCCGCGGCUACAGCUACAUUCAUCUCCUUAGAAACCAGUCCUGCUCCAGGAAAAUGUCUCUCCAUUACGGUUGCUGCUGCCCUGAGUGCACAUCUGUGGCCGUAAAGUAAAUGAUGUGGGUGACUUGGCCAAGAGUUGCCUGUGUGGUCAAGGAUGCCGGCAGCGCAGGAAAGUCAAGACCAGGCAGGCCCGGGGGGCAGUUCAUGCUCAUGAGGACAGGCCACGUAGGCAGUUGUGGGAGAGCUGGGCCAGCCAUUGACAAGGACAAUCAUUUGUGGUGUUGUCUCUCUGCUUAUUCAGGGGAAAGAAUUUCAGCUCCUGAAAGGGAAAUCUACUGUCAUUAUUGCAACCAAAUGAUGCCAGAAAAGUAUUUCCACCAUAUGGGUAAAUGUUGUCCAGACUCAGAGUUUAAGAAACACUUUCCUGCUGGAGAGCCAAAAAUUCUUCCUUCAUCUCCUCCAAGUCAAGCUGCUGAAAAUCAAACUUCCACAAUGGAGAAAGAUGUUCGUCCAAAGACAAGA
This 653-nucleotide small RNA is filed under the name Pongo abelii (Sumatran orangutan). RNAcentral's name for it is "retained intron". The record is from RNAcentral. Lineage: Eukaryota; Metazoa; Chordata; Mammalia; Primates; Hominidae.